CCUACGGGUGGCUGCAGUGAGGAAUAUUGGUCAAUGGACGAGAGUCUGAACCAGCCAAGUAGCGUGAAGGAUGACUGCCCUAUGGGUUGUAAACUUCUUUUAUAUGGGAAUAAAAUGUUCCACGUGUGGGAUUUUGUAUGUACCAUAUGAAUAAGGAUCGGCUAACUCCGUGCCAGCAGCCGCGGUAAUACGGAGGAUCCGAGCGUUAUCCGGAUUUAUUGGGUUUAAAGGGAGCGUAGGUGGAUGGUUAAGUCAGUUGUGAAAGUUUGCGGCUCAACCGUAAAAUUGCAGUUGAAACUGGCAGUCUUGAGUACAGUAGAGGUGGGCGGAAUUCGUGGUGUAGCGGUGAAAUGCUUAGAUAUCACGAAGAACUCCGAUGGCGAAGGCAGUUCACUGGACUGCAACUGACACUGAGGCUCGAAAGUGUGGGUAUCAAACAGGAUUAGAUACCCUUGUAGUC
RNAcentral lists this ribosomal RNA (460 nucleotides) under uncultured bacterium. Its description in RNAcentral is "partial 16S ribosomal RNA". It matches the Rfam family "Bacterial small subunit ribosomal RNA", at positions 338 to 795 of the family's 1533-position model. The record is from RNAcentral.